This 482-nucleotide ribosomal RNA is filed under the name uncultured bacterium. RNAcentral's name for it is "partial 16S ribosomal RNA". It matches the Rfam family "Bacterial small subunit ribosomal RNA", at positions 30 to 507 of the family's 1533-position model. The record is from RNAcentral.
AUUGAACGCUGGCGGCAUGCCUUACACAUGCAAGUCGAACGGUAACGGGCCUUCGGGUGCCGACGAGUGGCGAACGGGUGAGUAAUACAUCGGAACGUGCCCGAUCGUGGGGGAUAACGAGGCGAAAGCCUUGCUAAUACCGCAUACGAUCUACGGAUGAAAGCAGGGGACCGCAAGGCCUUGCGCGGACGGAGCGGCCGAUGGCAGAUUAGGUAGUUGGUGGGAUAAAAGCUUACCAAGCCGACGAUCUGUAGCUGGUCUGAGAGGAUGAUCAGCCACACUGGGACUGAGACACGGCCCAGACUCCUACGGGAGGCAGCAGUGGGGAAUUUUGGACAAUGGGCGCAAGCCUGAUCCAGCCAUGCCGCGUGCAGGAUGAAGGCCUUCGGGUUGUAAACUGCUUUUGUACGGAACGAAAAGCCUUCUUUUAAUACAGGAGGGUCAUGACGGUACCGGAAGAAUAAGCACCGGCUAACUACGUG